Long non-coding RNA from Lutra lutra (Eurasian river otter), 580 nucleotides. RefSeq lists it as uncharacterized. The transcript is spliced from 2 exons. NCBI's taxonomy places the organism in Eukaryota, Metazoa, Chordata, Mammalia, Carnivora, Mustelidae. The record is from RefSeq and is a predicted model, not a curated record.
AAAUAUCGGCAGAGAAGUUUUCUCCCUUUAGGCGCACAUCUCAUGCACAGCUCAGAUGCACACGGAAUGAGCUCACUUACCGUGCCCGCAGCUCUCUAGACAGAAGGACUUAAAAGCCCCUGGAACAAGAUAGCUGUGAGAGAAAUACCAUGCUCUUUCUCUGCUUGACAAGAAGGACGCCUGCCCUGAGCACGAGUCCACUCCAAGGGAAGGUGAGCGGGGCCUGGCAUCUGACUGUGCAGCUGUCCCAGAAGAAGACCCCAAGUCAGCUACCUAGAUACUUUCUAGAAGAAAGGGAUGUACCAAAAUACUGGCAGAACACACAGGCCAUGCAGAGACGAAUGAAACAGAUUUUCAAAUGUGGCACCGGACCGCCGGCUUGAGACCGAACGUACUUGCUGAGUGUCGGGUGCAGGCAGGAUAAACCCACGUAUUAACAGGAAGCACCCUGAAUAGAUCACAAAGUAAAGCUCGACGCAGGCAACACAGGAAGGGUGCACUUCAGGACCAGAAGCUUUACAAAGAUGGAGGGGAGAGUUUAGCAAAUAUUUGGUAAAACUGCCUGGGAAAAACAAACAAA